This 253-nucleotide ribosomal RNA is filed under the name uncultured bacterium. Its description in RNAcentral is "partial 16S ribosomal RNA". It matches the Rfam family "Bacterial small subunit ribosomal RNA", at positions 524 to 776 of the family's 1533-position model. The record is from RNAcentral.
UACGUAGGGGGCAAGCGUUGUCCGGAUUUACUGGGCGUAAAGGGCGCGUAGGCGGCAAUUCAAGUCAGUUGUGAAAUCUCCGAGCUUAACUCGGAACGGUCAACUGAUACUGUUUUGCUAGAGUACAGAAAGGGCAAUCGGAAUUCUUGGUGUAGCGGUGAAAUGCGUAGAUAUCAAGAGGAACACCUGAGGCGAAGGCGGGUUGCUAGGCUGAUACUGACGCUGAGGCGCGAAAGCUAGGGUAGCAAACGGG